AUUGAACGCUGGCGGCAGGCCUAACACAUGCCAGUCGAGCGGAUGAAGGGAGCUUGCUCCUGGAUUCAGCGGCGGACGGGUGAGUAAUGCCUAGGAAUCUGCCUGGUAGUGGGGGAUAACGUCCGGAAACGGGCGCUAAUACCGCAUACGUCCUGAGGGAGAAAGUGGGGGAUCUUCGGACCUCACGCUAUCAGAUGAGCCUAGGUCGGAUUAGCUAGUUGGUGGGGUAAAGACCUACCAAGGCGACGAUCCGUAACUGGUCUGAGAGGUUGAUCAGUCACACUGGAACUGAGACACGGUCCAGACUCCUACGGGAGGCAGCAGUGGGGAAUAUUGGACAAUGGGCGAAAGCCUGAUCCAGCCAUGCCGCGUGUGUGAAGAAGGUCUUCGGAUUGUAAAGCACUUUAAGUUGGGAGGAAGGGCAGUAAGUUAAUACCUUGCUGUUUUGACGUUACCAACAGAAUAAGCACCGGCUAACUUCGUG
This 484-nucleotide ribosomal RNA is filed under the name uncultured bacterium. RNAcentral describes it as "partial 16S ribosomal RNA". It matches the Rfam family "Bacterial small subunit ribosomal RNA", at positions 30 to 507 of the family's 1533-position model. The record is from RNAcentral.